GCCUUUAUAGCUCAGUGGUUAGAGCACUGGUCUAGUAAACCAGGGGUCAAGAGUUCGAGUCUCUCUAAAGGCU
Molecule: transfer RNA, 73 nt
Filed under: Exaiptasia diaphana
Lineage: Eukaryota; Metazoa; Cnidaria; Anthozoa; Actiniaria; Aiptasiidae
Description: tRNA-Thr
Rfam family: tRNA
About the family: Transfer RNA (tRNA) molecules are approximately 80 nucleotides in length. Their secondary structure includes four short double-helical elements and three loops (D, anti-codon, and T loops).
Source: Rfam by way of RNAcentral